UCGUUCAAAGUAGGUUGUCAA
Molecule: microRNA, 21 nt
Filed under: Paeonia lactiflora (Chinese peony)
Lineage: Eukaryota; Viridiplantae; Streptophyta; Magnoliopsida; Saxifragales; Paeoniaceae
Description: pla-miR11598
Source: miRBase by way of RNAcentral